This 108-nucleotide small nuclear RNA is filed under the name Nippostrongylus brasiliensis. RNAcentral's name for it is "U2 spliceosomal RNA". It matches the Rfam family "U2 spliceosomal RNA". Rfam says of the family: U2 is a small nuclear RNA (snRNA) component of the spliceosome (involved in pre-mRNA splicing). The record is from Rfam by way of RNAcentral. Lineage: Eukaryota; Metazoa; Nematoda; Chromadorea; Rhabditida; Heligmosomidae.
UUAGCUUCUCGGCCUUUUGCUGAGAUCAAAGUUUAGUUUCUGUUCUUAACGAAUUAACCUUCGAUAGAGAUUCGAUUAUAUCAUUUACAAUUUCCUCCUAUACUACUA